RNAcentral lists this transfer RNA (53 nucleotides) under Gammarus duebeni. Its description in RNAcentral is "tRNA-Ser". The record is from RNAcentral. Lineage: Eukaryota; Metazoa; Arthropoda; Malacostraca; Amphipoda; Gammaridae.
UUAGGUGUAAAAAAGACUUCUAAUCUUUAACUAGCACAAUAGCUACACCUAAA